CCUGAAUAAAAAAAAAAAGCACAGGAAAUUGGUUGGUGCAUUCGUAUCUUCAUGGAAAAGGAAAUUGCAUGUAAUUGGCAUCAAAUCUAUCCUUCCCAAUAAACACAUCUUUUAUAAGAAUUGAAGACAUGAUAUUGCAUUUCAUAUAUUGAAAUUACCACAAGGACUCCACAUAUCAACUCAAGCAGACACGAACUGCUUUCCAAAAGACAUAGACAGCUCUGUUUUUGUCGGGCCAAAUCCUAAAAAGCCUUCCAAACAGAUAU
Molecule: unclassified non-coding RNA, 266 nt
Filed under: Hevea brasiliensis (rubber tree)
Lineage: Eukaryota; Viridiplantae; Streptophyta; Magnoliopsida; Malpighiales; Euphorbiaceae
Source: RNAcentral